AUAAGGAUGCAACAAUGCACUUACACCUUAUUUCAAAAACCUCAACAUAAUUGUAAAACCACAAUGAACCAAUUGUCAACUUAAACAUGAAUGUAUGCAAUGACAUUAUCAUGUUUAGUUAUGUUCAAGGAGGAACUACCUUCUCCUAGUCAUAACACACUAACAUCAACAUUUCUCAUGUUCAUAGGAAGAACUACCUUC
RNAcentral lists this long non-coding RNA (201 nucleotides) under Solanum tuberosum (potato). RNAcentral's name for it is "long non-coding RNA (STUB_LNC011223)". Lineage: Eukaryota; Viridiplantae; Streptophyta; Magnoliopsida; Solanales; Solanaceae. The record is from RNAcentral.